GAUGAACGCUGGCGGCGUGCCUAAUACAUGCAAGUCGAGCGAACAGACGAGGAGCUUGCUCCCCUGACGUUAGCGGCGGACGGGUGCGUAACACAUGGAUAACAUACCUACCCGACUGGGGUAAAUUCGGCAGACCGGAGCUCCUACCGGAUGAUAUAUUGAACCUCAUGGUUCAAUCGUGAAAUACGGUUUUUCUUUGGCUUAUAGAUGGAUCCGGGCCGCAUUAGCGGUUCUGGAAGGUUACGGCUUACCAAGGCAACGACGCGUACGCGACCAGAGAGGGGGAUCGGGCAGACGGGCACAGAGACACGGUCCAGACUCCUAGAGGAGGCAGCGGUAGGGAAUCUUCCGCAAUGGGCGAAAGCCUGACAGAGCAACGCCGCGUGAGUGAUGAAGGUAUUCGGAUCGUAAAACUCUGUUAUUAGGGAAGAAGAAAUGUGUAAGUAACUAGGCACGUCUUGACGGUACCGAAUCAGAAAGCCACGGCUAACUACGUG
This 497-nucleotide ribosomal RNA is filed under the name uncultured bacterium. Its description in RNAcentral is "partial 16S ribosomal RNA". It matches the Rfam family "Bacterial small subunit ribosomal RNA", at positions 28 to 507 of the family's 1533-position model. The record is from RNAcentral.